Equus caballus (horse) is the source of this 1577-nucleotide long non-coding RNA. The record is from Ensembl. Lineage: Eukaryota; Metazoa; Chordata; Mammalia; Perissodactyla; Equidae.
GCGGGCCGGGGAGGAGACGCAGCGCGCGGCGGCGCUGGAGGGGCGACGAGGGCGGUAUAGCUGCCCUGGAGGGGCCGGCCCUCGGGUGUGACAGUCCCUGCCUGGGAAAGCGAAGGAUGGCGGAGUCGAGACCCGUUCCCGGAGCUUCAAGGGGGCAGGGAGGGUACUCUCAUUUUCUUGGGUCUUCAGUCUCUGAAGAAGUAAUACAGGAAAUAGCCACACCUUCAGAAGGAUGAUCUUCAAUGGCAACAAUUCUCAGCAAGUGGAGUGGCUCUGUUCCCAUCUACCUGGAAGGAUUUGUACAGUGAUCCAACAGUCUCUUGAUACCUUCAGCGUCAGCAAGGGAGACAUUGGCAGCCUCCCAUUUUCUCCUUGACUUCAGCCAAUUCCCUUGUCGAGCCAGCUAAAGCAAAAGCAUCUUCAUGAGCAUAAUCCCAUGUCUGAGACUCUUACAGUUUCUCCACAGAUUCAUUCAUUCCUCAUUCCCACAGAAACAAUUUCAACUCUUGGCAGGAACAUAAAUACAAAACUUGUGUGGCAUAGAACAUUUAGCUUUCAGCAAAUCCUCAAGCACUAGCAAAACUUUGCCAGGCAAUACAUGUUUAACCUGGAUGCUAACUGAAAUAGUGAUGUCACCCACAUACCUCCAAAACCUUAUUGAUAACAAGAUAUGCGACUCUUUCUGACAUUAAUAAGAUACAAGGUAAGAUUAUGGUAGUUGCUUAGUUUCCUGUUUGCUAUAUUUUUCAGUGAGUCUUUAACUAGCAAGCAGUAACCAACUAAUGUUGGUUAAAAUAUUAAGAUUAAAAUAGAGUGUUAAGAUUAAAAUAGAGUGCCUAAUGUUAACUGUGGUGAAAUUAUGAGUGCUUGAUAUUCUUCUCUAUAUAUUUUCCGUAUUUUCCAAUAUUUCUACAAGGAACAUAGAGAUUUUCAGGAGAAAAAAAUUUUAAGAAUAUAUUAUGUAAGAAAAGUCAACAACAAAAUACAGUAUUCAUCUCAUGCCCUACACACCUUAAAUACAAUAUUAAGAUUUAUCAAAGAUUCACAGACCUGAAGGAACUUCAAACCAUCACUUACACCAUGCUCUGUCUAGUUAUUAUUAUUCCUCAGUUAUCUCAGAAAGACGCUAAUCAUAUGUUGUAACCUUAUGGUCCGCCACAGUUAGAAAAAUGCUUCAUCUUGCAUUGAUUUCUAGCUUCUUUGAGAUUUAAAUGUCUUAUUUGAAAUUAAAGCCCUGGUUUAUCACUAUAUCUCUUUUCAAUUAUACAACUUUUAUGUCCUGAACUUUAAAAUUUCCCCAUUGAGCUUUUAACCACACAUACACACACACACACACAAUUAGUUUAGGAAUUUGGGCCCACUGCCAAAAUUUUGUUUUUCUGAAGCCUCCUAACCCAGACUUGGUCACUUGAUACUAUCAAUGAACUAAUUUCAAGAUCUUCUUCCAUAUUAUAAUUUAAGGCUGAAAGGACUAGGAAAUUUGGAAACUAACAACUUCCAUGAAUAUGUAGAUACAGCAUCAGGGCUAUAGUGCAAAAUCUACCAGCUGAUGGUAAGAGGGAAGAUGAAGAAGGGAG